RNA transcript from Rosa rugosa (rugosa rose), 1172 nucleotides. It is a transcript of the gene named asparagine--tRNA ligase, chloroplastic/mitochondrial-like, with no coding region annotated. The transcript has 3 exons. The record is from RefSeq and is a predicted model, not a curated record. Lineage: Eukaryota; Viridiplantae; Streptophyta; Magnoliopsida; Rosales; Rosaceae.
AGGCACAAGGUAAUACAAUGAUCAAUGGCACUGAAUAUAAUGGUUAAGUCGUUGUUGCAAAUUGAUCAUAUAUAUAUUUCGACAAAAUUAAUAACCUACAAAAUAUACAUUUCACCGCAUUACUCUAAUAAACAUUUCGCAUGCGACUCCCACAAAGAAGACCCGACCUAAGCCUCAAGACUUGAAGGCUUUUGAGUUGUCCAAGAAGUUGUGGGGAGGUGGUCAAGAUUCCAAGAAGGCUCAGCUGCCGGCGUCCCCCUGAGAUUUCAAAGGAGCUAGCCGUGUGGAUCAGAUAGCUGGGAUUUCAAAGAGCAGGGCUAGCUUGUCCGAGACUUUUAUGACCAAGGAGGGCCUGGAGUUGAUUGCUGCAUCAAAGCGAGCUGAGCUGGAGAAGAAAUGGAACAAGCUGCAUGUUGCUGAAUUGGAGCAUUCUGAGCUUAUGAGAGAGAGGGCUGAGCUUACAAAAUUUCAGGCCAAGUUGAUCUUGGAGGGCCUUAAUAAGUCAACAUUCCAUUAGAAUCGUGGUCAGGUAUUGCCCUGGAUCUAGAAAGCCCUCAUCAAGUCAAGGCGAUCAUUAUCUUUUGAGUUUUGUUGGGUUUAAAUGAUCAUUAUGUUUUGGGAUUUGUAAGGUUGAAGAAGUAACAAUUGAUUAUGCCAUGUAUGCAAAUUCACUAUUCAAAAAUUGUUUGUUUCAUUUGGUUUUCUUGGUGCUGUUCUAGCGCAAAAGAACCAAUACGAUACACACAUGCUAUUGCAGAUACCAAUCAUUUCAUUGAGGUUAAUGAUGGGUCCUGUCUCUCAAAUAUGCAAUGUGUAUUGGGUUCAGAUGCUGAAGGUUAUGAACUUAUGAUCAGGUAGAAUCUGGCUCAAUCACAACUGGUGCUUUGAUAUGGUGCAAGGCGUUGCAGCUACUAGCCAAGGGUCAAAGCAAAAAGUGGAAUUGUGGUCAAGAAACUUGUUGUGGUUAGUAUUUUUCCUCCUCUGUGUGUCUGGCUUGGUAGCUAUCUGGAUGGAGCUUGAACAGUUUAUCAUCACUCCAAUCCUGUUUGCCCUUUCUCACUGCUUUUCAGUUGAAAGUUGAAACAACAUCGCAUUGCUUAGGAUCAUGCAACCACUUAAGAUGGACUUUUUCCCUACAUUUAUAUGACAGAUUUGCUAUAGUUUACAGUUCA